This 316-nucleotide unclassified non-coding RNA is filed under the name uncultured fungus. RNAcentral's name for it is "partial contains 5.8S ribosomal RNA, internal transcribed spacer 2, and large subunit ribosomal RNA". The record is from RNAcentral. Lineage: Eukaryota; Fungi.
AACGCACCUUGCGCUCCUUGGUAUUCUGAGGAGCAUGCCUGUUUGAGUGUCAGUAAAUUCUCAACUCCUCCAGCUUUGUGAAGGUUGGUUUUGGAGCUUUGGAUAUGGAGGGUUAUGCAGGUCCCCCUAGUUAAAGUGGGGAUCAGCUCCUCUGGAAUGCAUUAGCAGAAACUGGUUGCAAAUCUGCCUCUGGUGUGAUAAUUAUCUACGCCAUCUGGAUUGCUCUCAAGUGUUCAGCUUCAAAUAGUCCUGUUUUGUGUGGACAGUAUUCUGAACUUUUGACCUCAAAUCAGGUAGGAUUACCCGCUGAACUUAA